Tachysurus vachellii is the source of this 249-nucleotide long non-coding RNA. RefSeq lists it as uncharacterized. Lineage: Eukaryota; Metazoa; Chordata; Actinopteri; Siluriformes; Bagridae. The transcript has 3 exons. The record is from RefSeq and is a predicted model, not a curated record.
GAGAUGUUUGCAGUGGAAUGGGAUCUGUUUGUCUGAAGACAUCACGAGGAUGCCUGGGAAAAAAAAGUCCAGGUCAGUCAGAAGUCGUGUAUAGCUCCGCCCCUUUUCUUCCUCCAGGCUGAUGUUGACGAUAUACGGUGCCACAUCGGGGUCAUAUUUUUUGCGAGGAGUUCAUGCCGGGGUUAAAUAGCUGCUUUAUCGCUGAGAUCUGGACCUGAGGAUGAAGCGAGGAAGUGAUCUUUACCUGCU